Long non-coding RNA from Pezoporus occidentalis (night parrot), 747 nucleotides. RefSeq lists it as uncharacterized. Lineage: Eukaryota; Metazoa; Chordata; Aves; Psittaciformes; Psittacidae. The record is from RefSeq and is a predicted model, not a curated record. The transcript is spliced from 2 exons.
UUUGGGUCCUGUGUCCAGAGAAGGCAAAUCAGUAAUACCUUUUCUGUUCAAACCCAGGAAAAGUUUCUUCAGAGCAUUAAGAUCAUGGGACAGAUAAUGUCAAUCAGCUCCAGAGAAACAGCAUCAGUUUAGCUGAGAAUCUCUAUGCAAGUCUCAACUGAAGGUAAAUACCCCUAAUUUGAGCAACACUGCUUUAUUACAACUGGACACUUGGUAUCGCAUAUUUCUGGACUGAAACACUUCAUGCAUUCCUUCAGCCCAAAUGUGAGUGUUCUUUCUCAAAUCUGCUUUCUAGGAAUAAACAACCCUAUAACAGGCAUUGCUGAGCUGUCUGCAGCAGACAAACACAUAAGAGUUGCAAAUACAGCCAAAGACAGAUAUCAAAAAGAAAUAGUCUCGAAAUGUUUGGCACUGUUUGCUCACCUUUGGAAUAGACAUCCUGUUCCUCCUCUUCAAGUGUUUCACGUUAUUUUUUUUAAUAGAGCUGGGUGAGCUGGUAUUUCUUCUGCUCAAGCUGUCUCUAAACUUGUAUUUCCAACAGUGGCAGCAGAUUAUGAGACGAUACUUAUAGAAAUGACAUUAUAUCAUUCUUUGAAAUACCCAUCCUGCAAGGCAAAAUCUGCAGAAAUUAUAGGACUAAGAGGCCUCCUUUGAGAGGCAGAAACUAUUUUAACUCGUUAUUUUUAGAGCUCUGCAAAUCACAUAUUUUUCUCUUCAUUGGCAAUUCAAAAAAAAAAAUAUUGGAAA